AAGGAAUAUUGGACAAUGGAGGCAACUCUGAUCCAGCCAUGCCGCGUGAAGGAAUAAGGCCCUAUGGGUUGUAAACUUCUUUUAGACGGGACAAAACCCCUUUACGUGUAAAGGGUUGAUGGUACUGUCAGAAUAAGCAUCGGCUAACUUCGUGCCAGCAGCCGCGGUAAUACGAAGGAUGCAAGCGUUAUCCGGAAUUAUUGGGUUUAAAGGGUGCGUAGGCGGACUAAUAAGUCAGUGGUGAAAGCCUGCAGCUUAACUGCAGAAUUGCCAUUGNUACUGUUAGUCUUGAGUACAGUUGAGGUAGGCGGAAUGUGUCAUGUAGCGGUGAAAUGCUUAGAUAUGACACAGAACACCGAUUGCGAAGGCAGCUUGCUAAGCUGUAACUGACGCUGAGGCACGAAAGCGUGGGGAGCAAACA
RNAcentral lists this ribosomal RNA (421 nucleotides) under uncultured bacterium. RNAcentral's name for it is "bacterial SSU rRNA". It matches the Rfam family "Bacterial small subunit ribosomal RNA", at positions 356 to 774 of the family's 1533-position model. The record is from RNAcentral.